GUGGGUGGGGCUCGCGAUUUGAGUCGGGACUAGCGGAUUCGCCGGAGGCUCUGGUCUCCCAGCAAGAGGACAAAUGUGCCGGGAUGUAUGCAGGCAAGCCAGAAGAGGAGAGUCCAGGACCAGUAAAUCAGGUCAGUAAAUGCACUAUUCUGUCAGGGGCCAAGUUACCACUGAAGAGGUAAGACAAGUGAUGGUUGAGGAUCAUAAAUGUGAUUCAAGGACAGCAGAAAUUACCAAGAAGAAAGGGAAAUGUCUGUCAGAUGUGGCACCAAUCUCUUAGUUUCCCCUUAGUAAUACUCCACUGAGAGUAGUUAGAGAAGCUAGUGGGCCAUUGAGAUGGCAGGGUGCCAGCAGCAUUUGGACCCACAGCUUCUGCAACAUUCAAUGCCAGGGCCUGCAGCUGUGGUGGGUGCAGCAGCCUCAGAGGAUGUGAAGUGGACCUCCCCAGAAGUAUCUAUCCUUUUCAGAGAACACCAGCAGAUUAACAGUCACUUUGGACAUUGGAAGCUGCAGCAAACACCUCAAUAUAAUAAGUUGACACAGGAGCAAAGGGAAUGAAUGGUCCAACCCAUGGAGCAGUCAGGGAAGCUGGUCAGGGAAAAGGCAGGGGAGACACCCCUAAGGGGUCCCCAGGCUAUCUGUGAGGAAUUAAAGGGGUCUGGACUUCCCGUACUGUUGUUAGAAACUAAGGAAAAAUACUACUAAUAAGAUAAAUGUCUGUGGUUGUCUUACAUCUUAGCUGGGUAUGUAGGAAUUUAGGUUAUAUGAAAAUUAUUUAGAAUUAAGCUUUCUUUCUUUUUUUCUUUUUCUUUCCUUUUUCUCCUGGUCACCCAUGGCAUAUAGAGUUCCCAGGUCAAGGGUAGGAUCUGACCUAUGCCACAGCUGCGGCAAUGCCAAAUCCUUUAACUCACUUGCCAGGCUGGGGAUUGAACCAUCCUAUUGUGCCACAGCAGGAACUCUAGAAGUAAGUUUUCUUAAGGAGUCACAAAACUUUUCUUUUUUGUUUUUUAGGGCUGCACCUGUGGCAUAUAGAGGUUCCCGGGCUAGGGGUUGAAUCAGAUCUGCAGCUGUUGGCCUACACCACAGCUGUAGCAAUGUGGAAUCAGAGCCACAUCUGUGACCUACGCCAUAGCUCAAGGCAACAUUGGAUCCUUAACCCACUGAGCGAGGCCAGGGAUUGAAUCUGCAUCCUCAUGGAUACUAGUAAGAUUCAUUUCUGCUGAGCCAUGAUGGGAAUUCCAACACAGGAUUAUUCCAACUCCCUCUCUUUCCCUCAGGGUUUGCUGACUUUACCUAUAAUGUCUUCUCAUGUUGCCUCACCCUAAAAGAAUUAGGACUAUCUAAGGCAGCAUUUAACUGGAAACCCAACUAAGGUUUGUGAGGCUGAACAAAUAAAGUUUUAUUAAAAUUUUUUUUUAAUUUUGAUUUUUCUUUUUUCUUUAAAUUUUGUUCUGAGGUAUUUAUUUUUGAAUAUGCAAAAAUUUUAUUUAUUUAAAUAAUUUUUAUUUUUUCCAUUAUAGUUGGUUUACAGUGCUGAGUAAUCACUUUUCUACUGUACAGCAAAGUGACCCAGUCACACAUGCAUAUAUACAUUCAUUUUCUCACAUUACCCUCCAUUAUUCUCCAUCACAAGUGACUAGAUAUAGUUCCCAGUGCUACACAGCAGGAUCUCAUAGCUAAUCCAUUCUGAAUGCAAUACUUUAUAUCUAUUAACCCCAGAUUCCCAGUCCAUCCCACUCCCACCCCCUUCCCCUUGGUAAUCACAAGUCUGUUCUCCAAGUCCAUGAGUUUCUUUUCUGUGGAAAGGUUAUUUGUGCCAUAUAUUAGAUUCCAGAUGUGUGAUAUCAGAUGGUAUUUGUCUUUCUCUUUCUGACUUCACUUAGUAUGAGAGUCUAUAGUUGUAUCCAUGUUGCUGCAAAUGGCAUUAUUUUGUUCUUUUUUAUGGCUGUGAGGUAUUCCAUUGUGUAUAUAUACCAUAUCUUCUUAAUCAAUUCAUCUUGUCAGUGGACAUUGAGGUUGUUUCCAUGUCUUGGCUAUUAUGGAUGGUGCUGCAAUGAACAUAUGGGUGCAUGUGUCUAUUUCAAGGAAAGUUUUGUCUGGAUAUAUGCCCAUUAUAGUUGAUUUGCCAUAAUCCAUCAAUUUCUACUGUACAGCAAAGGUUUAUUUCUUACUUAACAGUAAAUCUGGAAUUGUCAUUCUUCUGACCUGGUUUCAAGAGCUCAGUGAAGAGAAACACAAUUGUAGAAAUCAAGUCUGUUUUUGAGACAGGAAGAAGGUAGAAAUGAGAAGGUGGGCCAAGGACUCAGCAGGAGGAUUUUAUGUUAUAUCAAGAAACAAAAGCUCCAGAAGGCUUCCAGUUAUGUUUCCUUGGCC
Molecule: long non-coding RNA, 2373 nt
Filed under: Sus scrofa (pig)
Lineage: Eukaryota; Metazoa; Chordata; Mammalia; Artiodactyla; Suidae
Description: lncRNA (ENSSSCG00030050888.1)
Source: RNAcentral